GUUUUCACCAAAAAUUCUACAGAAAAUCUUCUUGGCAAUAAGAAAGAUGAUAUAAAAAUAGGAAUUUUGAGAAUUGGUUGCGUGAUGGAAAGUUACAAAGAACCGUUUUCUUCCUGGUUGAUUAAUGAAAAUACUUUCAAUGUAAUUUUGAAAAACCUUCUAAUCGGAAUAGCUUUCAACAUGAAAGAAAACAGCUAGCGUAUAUUGCUCAACAAUUGAUGUAUGCGUCAAUUCUCUCAUAGCUUCAACAUACGAUACAGCGCAUAAUACAGAAAAUAUUAAAGUGUAUAACCUAGCAACAAAUCGACCGACAGUAAAAAAAUAUACGAAAUAUUUGUUAAAGAAAACGUGAAGGAUCCUUGGUUGAUCUUUGGUAAUUUAAAGUAUAGGUUGCUAUGUCAC
Long non-coding RNA from Nicrophorus vespilloides, 402 nucleotides. RefSeq lists it as uncharacterized. The record is from RefSeq and is a predicted model, not a curated record. The transcript has 3 exons. NCBI's taxonomy places the organism in Eukaryota, Metazoa, Arthropoda, Insecta, Coleoptera, Silphidae.